This 288-nucleotide long non-coding RNA is filed under the name Elaeis guineensis (African oil palm). RNAcentral's name for it is "long non-coding RNA (EGUI_LNC000119)". The record is from RNAcentral. Lineage: Eukaryota; Viridiplantae; Streptophyta; Magnoliopsida; Arecales; Arecaceae.
CGUGUAUCAAACAUAAUUAUUAAUAUUACUUAUAAUUUAAUGGUAGCAAUCUAUUUUGAAAGUAAUUUAUAUUAUUUUUUUAGAUUAUCUGGUGAUACACCAAAUGCUACCUCAAGUUGAUAUGAUCGAGAGACAGAGUGCUUGAAAAGGAAUGAGACCGUCGAGAGAGGGAUUUGAAUAAUAAAAUUUUAUGAGACAAUUGGACUUAUAUGAAUAAAAAGCUAUUGAUGUGAUUUACGAUGUUUGAAGUCAGUCCCCUUAUCAACAUCUUAGUGUUUCCCAAUGCCA